GAACCCAGGAAUGUAUUGGAACUGUUUCUCGACGUGGAUCCCAGGAGUUCACAGCAGCUGAUAACUUGGGCAAAAUAAUGGUUUCCAGUAUUGACUGAAGAACUGAAGAAGGCAAUAGCUUCUCCCAAGAAUCCAAAAAACGAAGCAUUGGUUCAGGGUCCCUAGCCUGCCAGGUAUUGGUGCCAGAUAUUCUAACAGCAGGGAACACAACUUCCAUAAAUAGUUGAGUAUAAGGAGAUGCAGCAUCAGAGAUAGCAAAAAUAUCAUUACCUUGCAAAAGAUCCUUCCACAGUGAAACCACCUCCAGUCCAUGUGUUGGAGUUUGAAGUGGAUCCCAUCCCUGAAAAAUUCGAAUGAACAAAGGCAGAGCGUAUGAGCACGCUAUGCUUGACAAGUUGCAGAGUGUGUAUUCCUCAACAUACUGCUGCUGCAAGUCUGCAAAUGCUUUUGCAAGGGAGUCUAGCGUCAGGGUACCAGAUGUGCUCUCUUCCCCUAUCCGGUCCAAUAUACCUACAAUCUCUUCCAUAUUAUCAAACUGCCUUUUUUGACGAGCUGCCUCAGCUUGGAGCUUCUCCUUCUCCUUUUGCA
Molecule: unclassified non-coding RNA, 588 nt
Filed under: Hevea brasiliensis (rubber tree)
Lineage: Eukaryota; Viridiplantae; Streptophyta; Magnoliopsida; Malpighiales; Euphorbiaceae
Source: RNAcentral